Dermochelys coriacea (leatherback sea turtle) is the source of this 2518-nucleotide long non-coding RNA. RefSeq lists it as uncharacterized. NCBI's taxonomy places the organism in Eukaryota, Metazoa, Chordata, Testudines, Dermochelyidae. The transcript is spliced from 3 exons. The record is from RefSeq and is a predicted model, not a curated record.
GUGGCUGGAAAAGUAGCAUUGGAUUUCUGAGCAAGGAAACUGCCCCCUGUUGUUUGUUCCUACUGUGUUCAGGGAAACAGCACAUUGUGUACGUUCUUUGUAAAUAAACACGAUUGAACCAAAUAAAUACCUGACUCACAUAAUCCAUUUCUCUCCUUAGUGGAAACAAGUCAACAAGAUCCAGAACAGUAGCUGACCACUUGUGACAAAGUGCAACACUGGUGUGAGGAAGUGGGAUCCAGUUUCAAAAGAGAGAAAUUGUGAGCUGGUAUUACUGUUGACAAGAGUUCAAAUAAUUGAACAUCUCACAAAACUCAAAGAUGGAAAAAAGAAAUUAAAACAAGACCUAAAACAUGAAAUGGAGGCUUCGCAAAACCUAUUAAAGCAACUUCUGGCAGCUUCCCAGGAAGGACAGAGAUGACAUGCAGACAGAGAUAAAACCUUUGCAGGGGCAGCAGCUCCAAAGUGACUUGGCAGAUUAGGAAACCCAGCUAUAAAACUCCCAUUCUGGCAUGGCAAGAAGGAUCAAUGAGGUGACCAUCAGUCUGCCUGUCAUGGACUUGAAGGUUUUCUGGGAAAUAGGGGAGACCAGGCAAGCUGUGGCCAACUUGGAAUUCACUAACAGAGAUGAGCUGCAGCAAGGACUUAAAGGUCCAUUGAGAAGGAAAUCAAAGCAUCAUAGACCACAGUGGAAGGCAGCUGUGUGGAUGAGGAAUUUGGCCAGCUGAAGGACUUGGGUAAGACUGGGCAUUUACAAUAGUUUUCUACCCUGUUUGUAACCUGCAGAGUCCCAGGGGGGAAGGUUCAAUCAUCCCAGCUUAAUAAUAUUAAAGCCCAAUAUCUCUGAAGAGAAAACUCCCUGGGAGGCUUAUUUGGCUCAGUUCCAUCAUUGCCCGAAUGAAUGGCUGGGAGAUGAACAGACUGGGUGGUUGCUAGCAGCCAGCUUGGGUGGCCCAGCUCUGACUGUACUGCAGAAUUUACCCCCCAGAAAAGAGACUGAGUUUUCCAGAUCUGGGACAAGGCCUUGAUAUGUAGUAUGACAAAUUGGGACAAUGUCUGUAGUAUCUUUUAUGAAUAUUAUGUGUGAUUAGGUUUCCCUGUUCAAAUUCAUAUGCUGCCUGUUUGAAUGCACAGAGCUUAAUCAAAGGGGGCUGUAAAAAUCUUGUUAUAGAACAUAGCAGGAAGGGUAAAACCAAUGACACAGAGAAGUGAACUUCCCAUACACAACCUCAAAAGUGUGACGAUAAUAUUGGCUGGGCCCACAACUGGUGAAAAAAUUAACUUAACUAGCUUCAUCCAAACUAAGCCUUGGACCAAAAGGAGAUGGAACCCCUAAAAGACCCUAAAUAAAGGAGGAGCUUUGGGGGAGAGCUGAGAGAGAGGCUGCCAAGGAUGUGUUAGUGAAAAGGCUGACAAUCUAACGACUGGGUUAAACACAAAAAAAGACAGAGGGGCCAGGCUGCAAGUAGUGUAGAUUGCUUCUCACAACUCAGAUGGGAAAUAAACCGGACCCAUCUAAACAAUGCCUAGAGAGGGCAAACUUCAGUAAAGGAGUAUGCAUGUAGACCUAUUUGUUAUUUUAAAUCUACUUCUUUAAGUACUGUGUGCCUUUGAGGCAGAAUAAAUCACGUUAUGUUCUGGAGAUGCUGUUUUUGUAUCACUGCAAACAUAUGCUGUCACAUGCAGGGCUGGAUUUCCAGUUUGGCAUGUGCCAUGGGGCGCUGGCGUUCUAGGGGUGCCUAAAAGUUAAAAGUGGGUGAAAAGCUAGAAAGUUCAAACAGUAGAACCUCCGAGUUAUGGACUCCUCGGGAAUAGAGGUUGUCUGUAACUCUGAAAUGUUCCGUAGCUCUGAAGAAGAGGUUAUGGGCUUCAGCCACAGGAGGGGUUGAGGCUGCACUUACAGGGGGUGUGUGUCAGGGCUUUGGACUUGGGCGGGGAGGAGCCAGGGGUUCUGACUCUGAAUGGGGGGUGGGGAGCCUCGGGGCUUCUGCCCGGGGCAGCACCGGGGCUCAACACUUUAGAUCUGGAGGGAGCCCUGGGGUCGGGGCAACAGUCCGACAGCUCCACUCCUGGUUUCAGCCUCGCAGGGGGCUCCGGGGCUUGGGGUUCAGCGGGGCAAGGAGGGAGGCCGAAACUGGCACUCCCCUUGUAGCUGAAAUCCCAAGGCCUGGUGCCCCCUGUGGGGCUGAAGGUGGGAACAGGGCUGUGGGGCUGAGCCCCAGUGCUCCUGAGGGUCAGAAGCCCAGAGCAGUACAGUAUUUCUCUUUUUUUUUUGUUUUUGUCUGCUCUGCGGCCUGAACCUGGGCUGUCUCCUGGUGAGGGAUGGGGGUGGGGGGAGGGGAAGGAGAGCCUGAAUCUGGGCUGCCUGCUAAGGCAUUGGUUGGGGGGGAGAGAAGGAGAGCCAGAGCUGUCAGUCUGGGGUGGCUGGGCUCCAGCUGUCCCCUUUAUCCCCACUACCCAGGUGUGCACAGCCCUUCUGAAUGAGCCCCAGCCACCAGGGCUGCCAGCAGAGCUCUUU